AGCUUUGUAGUUUAUUUGAAAAUAUCUACUUGUGGUGUGGAUGAAAGUGAGGCUU
This 55-nucleotide transfer RNA is filed under the name Parascaris equorum. RNAcentral describes it as "tRNA-His". Lineage: Eukaryota; Metazoa; Nematoda; Chromadorea; Rhabditida; Ascarididae. The record is from RNAcentral. RNAcentral also lists the same sequence under 1 other name.